RNAcentral lists this ribosomal RNA (2903 nucleotides) under Escherichia coli. RNAcentral describes it as "23S ribosomal RNA". It matches the Rfam family "Bacterial large subunit ribosomal RNA". Lineage: Bacteria; Pseudomonadati; Pseudomonadota; Gammaproteobacteria; Enterobacterales; Enterobacteriaceae. The record is from RNAcentral.
GGUUAAGCGACUAAGCGUACACGGUGGAUGCCCUGGCAGUCAGAGGCGAUGAAGGACGUGCUAAUCUGCGAUAAGCGUCGGUAAGGUGAUAUGAACCGUUAUAACCGGCGAUUUCCGAAUGGGGAAACCCAGUGUGUUUCGACACACUAUCAUUAACUGAAUCCAUAGGUUAAUGAGGCGAACCGGGGGAACUGAAACAUCUAAGUACCCCGAGGAAAAGAAAUCAACCGAGAUUCCCCCAGUAGCGGCGAGCGAACGGGGAGCAGCCCAGAGCCUGAAUCAGUGUGUGUGUUAGUGGAAGCGUCUGGAAAGGCGCGCGAUACAGGGUGACAGCCCCGUACACAAAAAUGCACAUGCUGUGAGCUCGAUGAGUAGGGCGGGACACGUGGUAUCCUGUCUGAAUAUGGGGGGACCAUCCUCCAAGGCUAAAUACUCCUGACUGACCGAUAGUGAACCAGUACCGUGAGGGAAAGGCGAAAAGAACCCCGGCGAGGGGAGUGAAAAAGAACCUGAAACCGUGUACGUACAAGCAGUGGGAGCACGCUUAGGCGUGUGACUGCGUACCUUUUGUAUAAUGGGUCAGCGACUUAUAUUCUGUAGCAAGGUUAACCGAAUAGGGGAGCCGAAGGGAAACCGAGUCUUAACUGGGCGUUAAGUUGCAGGGUAUAGACCCGAAACCCGGUGAUCUAGCCAUGGGCAGGUUGAAGGUUGGGUAACACUAACUGGAGGACCGAACCGACUAAUGUUGAAAAAUUAGCGGAUGACUUGUGGCUGGGGGUGAAAGGCCAAUCAAACCGGGAGAUAGCUGGUUCUCCCCGAAAGCUAUUUAGGUAGCGCCUCGUGAAUUCAUCUCCGGGGGUAGAGCACUGUUUCGGCAAGGGGGUCAUCCCGACUUACCAACCCGAUGCAAACUGCGAAUACCGGAGAAUGUUAUCACGGGAGACACACGGCGGGUGCUAACGUCCGUCGUGAAGAGGGAAACAACCCAGACCGCCAGCUAAGGUCCCAAAGUCAUGGUUAAGUGGGAAACGAUGUGGGAAGGCCCAGACAGCCAGGAUGUUGGCUUAGAAGCAGCCAUCAUUUAAAGAAAGCGUAAUAGCUCACUGGUCGAGUCGGCCUGCGCGGAAGAUGUAACGGGGCUAAACCAUGCACCGAAGCUGCGGCAGCGACACUAUGUGUUGUUGGGUAGGGGAGCGUUCUGUAAGCCUGUGAAGGUGUGCUGUGAGGCAUGCUGGAGGUAUCAGAAGUGCGAAUGCUGACAUAAGUAACGAUAAAGCGGGUGAAAAGCCCGCUCGCCGGAAGACCAAGGGUUCCUGUCCAACGUUAAUCGGGGCAGGGUGAGUCGACCCCUAAGGCGAGGCCGAAAGGCGUAGUCGAUGGGAAACAGGUUAAUAUUCCUGUACUUGGUGUUACUGCGAAGGGGGGACGGAGAAGGCUAUGUUGGCCGGGCGACGGUUGUCCCGGUUUAAGCGUGUAGGCUGGUUUUCCAGGCAAAUCCGGAAAAUCAAGGCUGAGGCGUGAUGACGAGGCACUACGGUGCUGAAGCAACAAAUGCCCUGCUUCCAGGAAAAGCCUCUAAGCAUCAGGUAACAUCAAAUCGUACCCCAAACCGACACAGGUGGUCAGGUAGAGAAUACCAAGGCGCUUGAGAGAACUCGGGUGAAGGAACUAGGCAAAAUGGUGCCGUAACUUCGGGAGAAGGCACGCUGAUAUGUAGGUGAGGUCCCUCGCGGAUGGAGCUGAAAUCAGUCGAAGAUACCAGCUGGCUGCAACUGUUUAUUAAAAACACAGCACUGUGCAAACACGAAAGUGGACGUAUACGGUGUGACGCCUGCCCGGUGCCGGAAGGUUAAUUGAUGGGGUCAGCGCAAGCGAAGCUCUUGAUCGAAGCCCCGGUAAACGGCGGCCGUAACUAUAACGGUCCUAAGGUAGCGAAAUUCCUUGUCGGGUAAGUUCCGACCUGCACGAAUGGCGUAAUGAUGGCCAGGCUGUCUCCACCCGAGACUCAGUGAAAUUGAACUCGCUGUGAAGAUGCAGUGUACCCGCGGCAAGACGGAAAGACCCCGUGAACCUUUACUAUAGCUUGACACUGAACAUUGAGCCUUGAUGUGUAGGAUAGGUGGGAGGCUUAGAAGUGUGGACGCCAGUCUGCAUGGAGCCGACCUUGAAAUACCACCCUUUAAUGUUUGAUGUUCUAACGUUGACCCGUAAUCCGGGUUGCGGACAGUGUCUGGUGGGUAGUUUGACUGGGGCGGUCUCCUCCUAAAGAGUAACGGAGGAGCACGAAGGUUGGCUAAUCCUGGUCGGACAUCAGGAGGUUAGUGCAAUGGCAUAAGCCAGCUUGACUGCGAGCGUGACGGCGCGAGCAGGUGCGAAAGCAGGUCAUAGUGAUCCGGUGGUUCUGAAUGGAAGGGCCAUCGCUCAACGGAUAAAAGGUACUCCGGGGAUAACAGGCUGAUACCGCCCAAGAGUUCAUAUCGACGGCGGUGUUUGGCACCUCGAUGUCGGCUCAUCACAUCCUGGGGCUGAAGUAGGUCCCAAGGGUAUGGCUGUUCGCCAUUUAAAGUGGUACGCGAGCUGGGUUUAGAACGUCGUGAGACAGUUCGGUCCCUAUCUGCCGUGGGCGCUGGAGAACUGAGGGGGGCUGCUCCUAGUACGAGAGGACCGGAGUGGACGCAUCACUGGUGUUCGGGUUGUCAUGCCAAUGGCACUGCCCGGUAGCUAAAUGCGGAAGAGAUAAGUGCUGAAAGCAUCUAAGCACGAAACUUGCCCCGAGAUGAGUUCUCCCUGACCCUUUAAGGGUCCUGAAGGAACGUUGAAGACGACGACGUUGAUAGGCCGGGUGUGUAAGCGCAGCGAUGCGUUGAGCUAACCGGUACUAAUGAACCGUGAGGCUUAACCUU